Dermacentor andersoni is the source of this 3183-nucleotide non-coding RNA. The record is from RefSeq and is a predicted model, not a curated record. NCBI's taxonomy places the organism in Eukaryota, Metazoa, Arthropoda, Arachnida, Ixodida, Ixodidae.
AGGGCUCCGGCGAAUCGGUCGUGGCGAUUCCGGCGCUCGCACUUCGGUGUUCCUCGGCGUGCCCGACGGUUGUCGCGUGCGUUUGCGCGAGCCGGAGGAGGCGCGCCAUGCUUCGCGAAGCGACUCGCUGCUGCUGCUCCCCCGCGAGACCCGUGUCGCCCUUUUCACGCGAGUCAUGGCACUGCUCAGGUCCUGUUGCUGCUGGUUGUCUGUGCGGAAAGGAAGCUUCGCUUGUGGCGUCUACACGCUUAUCUUGUACACAAUGCUGGUCGCUACAGGGGGAUCCCACGUCGGUUCUGUGUUCUACUCACCGGUGGGAUUCUCGUUGAUUCUUUUGCUCUUGAGUUUCUCUGGACUGUGCGUCGUAUUUUCCGUGUUGCUUCUCUUGGCCUUGAUUAUCGACAACCGCCUCUUGCUAAUUCCUUGGUUAACUUUCGUGCCCAUGACCACAGCGCUGGACAUUGCACUGUCACUGUAUUUCAUCAAGGACCUUAAAGUCAACGCUUUUGUGAUCAUCAUGUACAUCGUGGACUACACAUUGAGUUCCAUUAACGUCUACUGCAUACUCUGCGUGCUCUCCCAGUACCAAAUGUACGCGCUGGAAAGGAGAACCAUGGGCCAGGGAAGGCGCCCGUCGCCGAAGGAGACGGAACCGAAACGACCACACAGUGCGUCGGCAGGCGCUGCUGUUCCAUGCUACACGAACGGCAGUAACCAUGGCAACAGCCGCUGCACGUUCAGCCGCAUAGCGUCGUGGCCCAGUCGCCGGAUCUCCCGCAAGGCGGCCUUCCCACAGAGCGGAGCACGUGUUUCACCCUGCAGUUUCGUGGCCCUUACUGUCCCUGCUGCCACAGUGACCACCAGCGCGACGGGCAAGACUACAGAGGACGCUAGUAACCCAGCACGGGAAAACUCGCCGACUCCGGAAGGCCCCAAGGCGUGCGGUUAUGAGGUUGACGACACGUCAAGCGCGCUCCACCUGUCUACAGCUGAGGCGUCACUGCAGCAUUCAGCUGCAGAGGUCCAGAUGUCGGUGCUAUAAUCGCGGAAAGAAUUGACAACGGCGUACCAAGAUAGCAAACGUCUCAGAAGCACUCUCGCCUUGGAUUUUUCUCGGAUGGAUUGUUCAGUGAAGCAACGAACAAAAACACAAACAGUGCCAUUGUUGUACGUGAAGGCUAAUGCUGGAAAUAUUUCAUUUCGACCACCAAGAGGCUCCUUCGGACUUCUAUGAGAAAAAAAGAAGACAAGAGAAAGACCAUUGUUUUGAAUAAGAACGCCGCGCACACGAAAUUUAUGGUGUUUCAACGCGCUCAGCAUCGCGGAACAGCUGUGUCAAGACACGGAGCACAAGAGAAAAUCGACUCUUCCGCAGCAAAAAACGCGAGUUUGUGGGUGUUGGCUCCGUUUAUGAAGAGACAAAGCGACAUGGUAUCUGAGAGCGAGAAGUCCUUUUCUUUCGUUUUGCUAAUAUAUCGCUCUUCGUUAUAUAUCCAUAGUUUCAGAAACAAACCCCGUUUUCUUCACGACAGGACUUUGAACGUGACACAUAUAAAUAAUGCUGCAUGCUUUAAGAAGUGCCCGUAGAAAACCACUGGGCAAGCUUAGUGGCACCCUUUCGAUGGUUCGUGGCAACGUCAUCAGAAAACGUUUGUACUCUCUUACAUCAGCUCUAAUUUUGGCUAUUGAGCUGUCGAUUAUGUUUUCAUGUGUGUUUUUGGCAGCUUGAUUCAUUAUCGAAUAAGCAACCAUGACCUACGUACAUACGUGACUUGUGUGCGACUAUAGCUUUUGGGUUGCAUGCAUAUAUAUUCAGGUUUACGAGGUGUGCUCGUCCCUUCCUUUUGUACCACGUGAAAACACUGAGAGCAUUACUUUUCCUAAACUGACAUGACUGAGCGGCAUUUUUACAGCAUAAAUGUGCGUCAAGAUACGCAAGCGCAUCAAUAUCCACCACUGUAUUGUGACGUCGGACCGGCGGAGCAGUCUGGGCACGAUUUCAUUGCUUCCAAAGCCACCACAAAACUGCAUGAGCAGCACCAAGAAGACUGCAUCCGUCGGUGGAUUUACGAACAAAAAAAUAUAUUUUACGUAUAACUUUAGUCUUAUAUGUGACUUAAUGCUGCAGUGUCAAGUCUGUCGCGUUUUAUAUUGCAAAGGCCGCUCCAGUAGACGAUGCAUUGUGCUGUUUCCUGUUAGAGCCACGUCUCCACUUAGACCACAGAAUAUUACGGCACAUGCUCCCAUUAAGCCAAAAUGGAUAACGACUUUUCCAGCUUCUGAUGCUCGCCCUCUGCGCAGACGGCAGCAAGACACCUUCUCUGCUUGUUAAUACUUAUCCUGAGUAAUGUUUCGCUUAGCACUUGCUAAUAAGAAAAUAAACCAAUUUUGCCGUGUACAGAUAAGAAAUAGAGCUGGGUUAAAAAAAUUGGUACGUUUUUCAUAUUCCCUUGGAAAUGUGGGUGUAGAAGCUCGUCUGCAGCUUAGGUGACCUUCAGGGCUAGUGGACAAUGAGCCACUGGAAAAUCAUCAACAUCGCGAUCAUUGUGAUAUAUAUGACUCUUUAUAUGGCUUUCAUAAACCAUGAAAAGAUUUGAUUCAACAGAAAUACCAGCAGUUAAUCAGAAUAAUGGGUACUUAAUGUAGGAAGUUUGUGCCCAUUUCUAUAGGCGCGUACAGAGGCAACACGUAGAUCGCACACAGCAUCACGAAAUUCUUGAAAUCCAGUGAAGGUAUCGGCCGAAGACAAGCUUUGCAAAGUGCCACCACAGCGUGCAUAUUGAUGCGGAGUCAUGAAUUCGCAUGGGGAGGUGUCACUUUCUUGCUUACACAAUUAUCUCUUACGCAAUUCUCACAAUGGGCUUAAACCCUGUGAGACAGCACGACGAAAAUAGAGGCUCAGAACUUCAACAUUUCAUUAUUAAGUAAAAUAAAGCAGAGAAAGGACUAGAAUGAAGAAAGCAACGGGAUGAACGCUGGACUAUUUUCUUUCCCUCUAGUCCAUCUCUCGGUUAGCGCUGUGUUACUCAAGACGAAGCUACAGCAACUCCUUGAAAUAUCAGUUCUGUUAAACAUAUUGUUGGUUGUGAAUAAAAUACAUCCUACAUUACUAACGAAGUUGUCAUCAAAGUGCACUCGAACACAUCUACUGGAACGAUCCUGGAUAGAAGUUGCAGAAUAAAG